Molecule: RNA transcript, 941 nt
Organism: Eubalaena glacialis (North Atlantic right whale)
Lineage: Eukaryota; Metazoa; Chordata; Mammalia; Artiodactyla; Balaenidae
Gene: TESC
Gene name: tescalcin
Exons: 9
Source: RefSeq, a predicted model, not a curated record
ACCAGUUCCUGGCGUCCCGACCUGUGUCGGACCCGAGGCCGGACCUGCCGUUGCGCAGCCGACGCCAGCCCAGGGCCUGGGAGGAGCGAGCGCACCCGGGCCCCCGCCGCGGGCACCAUGGGCGCUACCCACUCCGCGUCCGAGGAGGUGCGGGAGCUCGAGGGCAAGACGGGCUUCUCAUCUGACCAGAUCGAGCAGCUCCACCGGAGAUUUAAGCACCUGAGUGGAGACCAGCCCACCAUUCGCAAGGAGAACUUCAACAACAUCCCUGACCUGGAGCUCAACCCGAUCCGAUCCAAAAUCGUCCGUGCCUUCUUCGACAACAGGAACCUGCGCAAGGGGCCCAGCGGCCUGGCUGACGAGAUCAACUUCGAGGACUUUCUGACCAUCAUGUCCUACUUCCGGCCCAUCGACACCACCAUGGAUGAGGAGCAGGUGCAGCUGUGCCGGAAAGAGAAGCUAAGAUUUCUGUUCCACAUGUAUGACUCGGACAGCGACGGCCGCAUCACCCUGGAAGAGUAUCGAAAUGUGGUAGAGGAGCUGCUCUCCGGAAACCCCCACAUCGAGAAGGAGUCUGCGCGCUCCAUCGCCGACGGGGCCAUGAUGGAGGCGGCCAGCGUCUGCGUGGGGCGGAUGGAGCCUGAUCAGGUGUACGAGGGCAUCACUUUCGAUGACUUCCUGAAGAUCUGGCAGGGGAUAGACAUCGAGACAAAGAUGCACGUCCGCUUCCUUAACGUGGAAACCAUCGCCCUGUGCCACUGACCGCCCCUCCCCCACGGAGAGCCCGGGCAGCGAGGCCCCCGGGGGCCCUUUUGCUGCAGCUCUUGUAAACAGUCAACAUCCCUCGCUCACCUCUUUUUCCCGCAGGCAGGUGUCCCGAGGGCGGCAGUGGAGCUGGGAAACCCUCAUCAUUUAGACAGUGAGAGCUGGCGCGGGCAUCC